CUCGAAGAUGUUGAGGAUCGUUUGUUUCUUAAAAUGGUCACUAUUGUUAGGCUCAUGCAGGUAGCAUAGGUAUAUUUACGCAGUUAACUAUGUAAAUGGUCGAAUAUUUGGGGGGAAAAAAUAUUUCCUGAUGAAUAUAGUGUCCACCAAGAAUUUAGUUAGCUAAUUUAAUAUCACAAGUAUUGAUUAGCGAUAUACUGGUUCAUAAGUCAUAACACAUGCAUAUGUGAUCGUAUGGUCACAAAACAUAUCACUUAUAUGAAAAA
This is a long non-coding RNA of Dendronephthya gigantea, 266 nucleotides long. RefSeq lists it as uncharacterized. The transcript is spliced from 2 exons. The record is from RefSeq and is a predicted model, not a curated record. Lineage: Eukaryota; Metazoa; Cnidaria; Anthozoa; Malacalcyonacea; Nephtheidae.